This 2772-nucleotide ribosomal RNA is filed under the name Escherichia fergusonii ECD227. Its description in RNAcentral is "bacterial LSU rRNA". It matches the Rfam family "Bacterial large subunit ribosomal RNA". The record is from RNAcentral. Lineage: Bacteria; Pseudomonadati; Pseudomonadota; Gammaproteobacteria; Enterobacterales; Enterobacteriaceae.
AGCGUACACGGUGGAUGCCCUGGCAGUCAGAGGCGAUGAAGGACGUGCUAAUCUGCGAUAAGCGUCGGUAAGGUGAUAUGAACCGUUAUAACCGGCGAUUUCCGAAUGGGGAAACCCAGUGUGAUUCGUCACACUAUCAUUAACUGAAUCCAUAGGUUAAUGAGGCGAACCGGGGGAACUGAAACAUCUAAGUACCCCGAGGAAAAGAAAUCAACCGAGAUUCCCCCAGUAGCGGCGAGCGAACGGGGAGGAGCCCAGAGCCUGAAUCAGUGUGUGUGUUAGUGGAAGCGUCUGGAAAGGCGCGCGAUACAGGGUGACAGCCCCGUACACAAAAAUGCACAUAUUGUGAGCUCGAUGAGUAGGGCGGGACACGUGGUAUCCUGUCUGAAUAUGGGGGGACCAUCCUCCAAGGCUAAAUACUCCUGACUGACCGAUAGUGAACCAGUACCGUGAGGGAAAGGCGAAAAGAACCCCGGCGAGGGGAGUGAAAAAGAACCUGAAACCGUGUACGUACAAGCAGUGGGAGCCUCUUUAUGGGGUGACUGCGUACCUUUUGUAUAAUGGGUCAGCGACUUAUAUUCUGUAGCAAGGUUAACCGAAUAGGGGAGCCGAAGGGAAACCGAGUCUUAACUGGGCGUUAAGUUGCAGGGUAUAGACCCGAAACCCGGUGAUCUAGCCAUGGGCAGGUUGAAGGUUGGGUAACACUAACUGGAGGACCGAACCGACUAAUGUUGAAAAAUUAGCGGAUGACUUGUGGCUGGGGGUGAAAGGCCAAUCAAACCGGGAGAUAGCUGGUUCUCCCCGAAAGCUAUUUAGGUAGCGCCUCGUGAAUUCAUCUCCGGGGGUAGAGCACUGUUUCGGCAAGGGGGUCAUCCCGACUUACCAACCCGAUGCAAACUGCGAAUACCGGAGAAUGUUAUCACGGGAGACACACGGCGGGUGCUAACGUCCGUCGUGAAGAGGGAAACAACCCAGACCGCCAGCUAAGGUCCCAAAGUCAUGGUUAAGUGGGAAACGAUGUGGGAAGGCCCAGACAGCCAGGAUGUUGGCUUAGAAGCAGCCAUCAUUUAAAGAAAGCGUAAUAGCUCACUGGUCGAGUCGGCCUGCGCGGAAGAUGUAACGGGGCUAAACCAUGCACCGAAGCUGCGGCAGCGACGCUUAUGCGUUGUUGGGUAGGGGAGCGUUCUGUAAGCCUGCGAAGGUGUGCUGUGAGGCAUGCUGGAGGUAUCAGAAGUGCGAAUGCUGACAUAAGUAACGAUAAAGCGGGUGAAAAGCCCGCUCGCCGGAAGACCAAGGGUUCCUGUCCAACGUUAAUCGGGGCAGGGUGAGUCGACCCCUAAGGCGAGGCCGAAAGGCGUAGUCGAUGGGAAACAGGUUAAUAUUCCUGUACUUGGUGUUACUGCGAAGGGGGGACGGAGAAGGCUAUGUUGGCCGGGCGACGGUUGUCCCGGUUUAAGCGUGUAGGCUGGUUUUCCAGGCAAAUCCGGAAAAUCAAGGCUGAGGCGUGAUGACGAGGCACUACGGUGCUGAAGCAACAAAUGCCCUGCUUCCAGGAAAAGCCUCUAAGCAUCAGGUAACAUCAAAUCGUACCCCAAACCGACACAGGUGGUCAGGUAGAGAAUACCAAGGCGCUUGAGAGAACUCGGGUGAAGGAACUAGGCAAAAUGGUGCCGUAACUUCGGGAGAAGGCACGCUGAUAUGUAGGUGAAGCGACUUGCUCGUGGAGCUGAAAUCAGUCGAAGAUACCAGCUGGCUGCAACUGUUUAUUAAAAACACAGCACUGUGCAAACACGAAAGUGGACGUAUACGGUGUGACGCCUGCCCGGUGCCGGAAGGUUAAUUGAUGGGGUUAGCGCAAGCGAAGCUCUUGAUCGAAGCCCCGGUAAACGGCGGCCGUAACUAUAACGGUCCUAAGGUAGCGAAAUUCCUUGUCGGGUAAGUUCCGACCUGCACGAAUGGCGUAAUGAUGGCCAGGCUGUCUCCACCCGAGACUCAGUGAAAUUGAACUCGCUGUGAAGAUGCAGUGUACCCGCGGCAAGACGGAAAGACCCCGUGAACCUUUACUAUAGCUUGACACUGAACAUUGAGCCUUGAUGUGUAGGAUAGGUGGGAGGCUUUGAAGUGUGGACGCCAGUCUGCAUGGAGCCGGCCUUGAAAUACCACCCUUUAAUGUUUGAUGUUCUAACGUUGGCCCGUAAUCCGGGUUGCGGACAGUGUCUGGUGGGUAGUUUGACUGGGGCGGUCUCCUCCUAAAGAGUAACGGAGGAGCACGAAGGUUGGCUAAUCCUGGUCGGACAUCAGGAGGUUAGUGCAAUGGCAUAAGCCAGCUUGACUGCGAGCGUGACGGCGCGAGCAGGUGCGAAAGCAGGUCAUAGUGAUCCGGUGGUUCUGAAUGGAAGGGCCAUCGCUCAACGGAUAAAAGGUACUCCGGGGAUAACAGGCUGAUACCGCCCAAGAGUUCAUAUCGACGGCGGUGUUUGGCACCUCGAUGUCGGCUCAUCACAUCCUGGGGCUGAAGUAGGUCCCAAGGGUAUGGCUGUUCGCCAUUUAAAGUGGUACGCGAGCUGGGUUUAGAACGUCGUGAGACAGUUCGGUCCCUAUCUGCCGUGGGCGCUGGAGAACUGAGGGGGGCUGCUCCUAGUACGAGAGGACCGGAGUGGACGCAUCACUGGUGUUCGGGUUGUCAUGCCAAUGGCACUGCCCGGUAGCUAAAUGCGGAAGAGAUAAGUGCUGAAAGCAUCUAAGCACGAAACUUGCCCCGAGAUGAGUUCU